Molecule: ribosomal RNA, 773 nt
Filed under: uncultured bacterium
Lineage: Bacteria
Description: bacterial SSU rRNA
Rfam family: Bacterial small subunit ribosomal RNA
Source: RNAcentral
AAAGCGUGGGUAGCAAACAGGAUUAGAUACCCUGGUAGUCCACGCCCUAAACGAUGUCAACUGGUUGUUGGGGGAGUGAAAUCCCUUAGUAACGAAGCUAACGCGUGAAGUUGACCGCCUGGGGAGUACGGUCGCAAGAUUAAAACUCAAAGGAAUUGACGGGGACCCGCACAAGCGGUGGAUGAUGUGGAUUAAUUCGAUGCAACGCGAAAAACCUUACCUACCCUUGACAUGUCCGGAAUCCUGCUGAGAGGUGGGAGUGCCCGAAAGGGAAUCGGAACACAGGUGCUGCAUGGCUGUCGUCAGCUCGUGUCGUGAGAUGUUGGGUUAAGUCCCGCAACGAGCGCAACCCUUAUCAUUAGUUGCUACGCAAGGGCACUCUAAUGAGACUGCCGGUGACAAACCGGAGGAAGGUGGGGAUGACGUCAAGUCCUCAUGGCCCUUAUGGGUAGGGCUUCACACGUCAUACAAUGGUCGGUACAGAGGGUUGCCAAGCCGCGAGGCGGAGCCAAUCCCAGAAAGCCGAUCGUAGUCCGGAUUGUUCUCUGCAACUCGAGAGCAUGAAGUCGGAAUCGCUAGUAAUCGCGGAUCAGCAUGUCGCGGUGAAUACGUUCCCGGGUCUUGUACACACCGCCCGUCACACCAUGGGAGUGGAAUCUGGCAGAAGUAGGUAGCCUAACCGCAAGGAGGGCGCUUACCACGCUGGGUUUCAUGACUGGGGUGAAGUCGUAACAAGGUAGCCGUAGGGGAACCUGCGGCUGGAUCACCUCCUU